AACUAUUGGUUGGAAAGACACCCUGUCAGUGCUCUUAGUUGUGGAAGAAACUGUGGCAUGUGCUCAGCUCUAAUUAUGAACUGGGGAAUGGUGAGGGGAAAAGUUGUAGACAGAAGGAAAAACUAGAAUUUCAGAUACCAGCAUUGACCAAAUCUAUAAGAAACUAGACCCACCGUUGUCCUCAUAAGUUACUUCCCAGUUUCUGUGCUUUAUAGAAGGGCCAAAUGCUGCUUCAGCUUUUCCAAAUGGAAUAUUAACAAUAUAUUUGAGACAGAUUUUUCUUUAACCCAGCUGCAGGUGUAAACUUUGGUAUAUCUGAAUUGGCACAAAUCCUUUUCGUUACUUUUUCUCCUCCUUCACCUUUUUCAGUACUUCGUUGUGCAGUAAGUUUACAGUGCAUUUUAAAAUAAUACAGUAAUUCAUCUAAAGGUUUGCAAGUCAAGUGGUACGCUUCUGAGAGAAAUUUCUUGUGACAAAGCAUGUACUAAUAGAAAAAUGGUAGUGUUUGUUAGUCACUGUUAACUUUGAACACAGCAAUAUAAAACAUUAAAAAUAUGAAAGUUAAAAUCCAUAGAUUUGCUGUAUGAUGUGCAAGAAGCUUAUAUUGCUUUUAAUAGGUAUCUGCAUUUUUUAUUGCCUUUGCAAAGGGACCCAUUCCAUCCCAUGUUGUCAGAAUAGGCAGGCUUUCUGACCUUGUAGAAGUUGUGUACAGAGAAGCAGGGAGGAGGAGGAAUCCUCAAUGUCAGCAUAUCUUUUAAGAUACUGUGAGCCCUUGCAGUUUCUGCUCAAGCCAGUGGUGUUGAAGUGAGGUAACAACCUUGGCUUUGUCCCCCAGGCUGGUGUUCUUGCUCUGAGUCUGACGCACACCUAAUCCGAUAGCUUUUUUCUUUCUUCUGGCAAGCUUGAUGUUGGUGCAGAUUCUGCCCUAAUGUACCUGUAAAUGUACUUGUAAAGAAAGCCUGAAGGUUUGUGGUGCUACAUAGCCUACUGCUGAGAAUAGCUCGGAUGCAGGAUGUUUUUCUCUUGAAGACCAAGCAAAACUGCUAAUGCAUCCUUCAGGAUGUUCAGGUGCCUCCAUCAUGACGGGUGGAAGACUUCAGAAGUGUUUAUGUGCCAUAGGUGUUCAGAGUUUAAAGCUGGCAACUGCUGCUUUCUUCAGCUGGAAAUUGGAGGUACAGAGUUAAAGGGACUUGCUAAAAACUGCAUAGGAAGCCUGUAACGGGGGAUGGAACUGAACCUGCAUCUCUUAAAUCAUGUGUCAGCACUCAUCUUACUUGACAUUUAAUGUGUUUUCUGCAAGGUAUCAGAGGAUAAAAUUUAAUUUUAAGUGGUUAUGUCUGAAAAAAAGGUCAUUUUAAAUAAUUGUCUUUAAGACUUCAAAAUACAAAUAAAAGGUAGAUAGUAGCCUCUUUAAUUUUAGUAUCUUGCAUAUGUUGUACAUUUGGUAGGUACCAAAAACCUUGACAUACCCAGUCAUGCUCGUUAUAUUGGAACAAACAUUAAUGUAUUAGCAUGGCAUACAGCUUAAAAAUAUUUAAGAUCAGAAAACUAAUAUGAUCACUAAGAAUAACUUUCAGUUAUGGACACAGAAGUUUCAAUACUUAAAUGAGACCUAAUUUUGGAGAUGUUGAGUCAUUCCUACAGCUAGUAGCAGCAGUUUUAAAAAAAAAUUAAAUGCUCAGCUUUAGUGUCUGGAAACUUUGAGCAAGAACUGUACUUAAGCAGCCAUACCGUGCCUUGUAAUCUGUUCAUUGUUUUCUUGGCAACUAGACUUCUUUCAAUGCAAACUGAGUAUAGAGAUGGAAAAUAAGUGAAAUUUGUGCACCUGUGAGAAUCUCAGAUUUGUAGGACAUCACGAUUUUCCUGUUGCUUUUAGAAACAAAAUGUCAGGUGAAACACUUGCCUUGCAUCUUAUAUAGAAUUGAAACUUGUGGUUUCUUAAAGUUCUUAAAUUAUACCAAGAAAUAGAAAAUUCUUAUUUGAAAAUUCCAGUGUUUCUGAGUUGCUAAAUGUGGCAAGCACUUCAGGAUUUCAACAAAGUGAUGUUGAUUCUCAAUUGCAUAAGACAAGAAUUUUGAUUGGCGUAGAGAGGGAACUCAAGCAUUAAAAUACUGUUUGGAUAUGCUCACAGUAGACCUGCUGCUAAGCAGGUGGUUGUUAUAUAUCACUGGAUAAUAGACUUCAGUAUUAGAUGAGAUAUGAAUUUUAAUGAUAGAUAAUAGGGAGAGGUGCCCUGUUUAAGGUGAAAGCUAAUUUCUUGUUUACAAAGGCUUUUGAGCAUCUGAAAUGCCAUUAGGUGUGAACCGCUGUGACUCCUGUCUUGGGCUUCUUGUUGUCAUCCCCAGCCCUCAGUGCUGUAACAGCUGAAAAUAGGCUGCGUCUGCAGUGACUUGCAGAAGCAGGCUGAACACAUCUAAGGAGUUUAUAGUUACUCUAGCUCCCCCAUAAGAUCUUAGAUGUGGAAAAUCAUAGAAUCAUGGAAUGGGUUGGGUUGGAAGGAACCAUCUAGUUCCAACCCCCCUGCCAUGGGAAAGGAUGCCUUCCACUAGGCCACGUUGCUCAGAGAUCGAUCCAACCUGGUAUAUACAUUUUAUAUUUACAUAUAUAUAUAUAUAUAUAUAAUCUCCUCUACAGUUAAGAGUUUUUCUCUGAAGUGAUCAGAAAUGGCCUGGAAAGUUCUUUAGUGUCCUUCAUAUAAAAAUGAUAUGCAUAAUCCUGUUGCCUCUGUUGCAGCAAAGGGAUGUAGGUUUACUAGAUGGCCUUUCAGUAUGCAUAUUGGAUAGUACCAUCCAUGGUUCUUGUCACUUUGAAGGUCUCAGCUGUAAGCUGCCUAGAAAUAAUGUGUUCAGGUGCUUUGGCUGAAACUGCUUAUAGUAACAGUUGGGAAGCAAAUAUAUACGGUGCUUCAUUACAUUGGGGUUUGUUGGGCUUUUGCUUGGAAGAGAAUUAUUUCCUCUAAUUUCUUACAAGCACAGUACCAAGGGUGACCCUGCCAAACAAUUUAAGCAAAAUUGACAUUGGUUGAGACUUUUCCUGGACCUUGAAAUCAAACUGGAAAGCAUGAGCUGACUAUAACAACCACAGAACUGAACUGUUAAAAGUAUUUUAUUUAAGUUGAGGUGAUUAUUUCCAGAAAGUUUUGUGUGCAAGAAUAAACGUAGUUUCUGCAGCUCAAAAGUGAUGUGAUGUGGUGCUUAUUCAUUAUUCUAAUAUUGUUCUUCAAGUUGUUUUACAAUAAUUAUUUAAUUUGCUCCCCUAUGAGUAAGUAAAAUUAUUCUGACUUUAUAUACCUCAGUUGAUCCAUCUGAAGAGUUUUUUUCCCAAAGGCUAUAUAAGGAGUUCAUGUCAAAGCCUAGAAUAAAAUGUUAAAUCCCCAGUCCUGCAAUUAGGCCAUAGGCUGUUCUUUAUAGCAAACUAAUUCAUGACUCAGCCACCUAAUUGCAGUGGGACUUCCAAUAAGGUCUUGAACAUCUACUCAUUUAUACAAAUGAUUUUAAGACGCUUUUUUUUGUUGUUGUUUGGAGUUGUUGCUUAAGUAAUUAAAGCCUUGCACAAUAUAGCUUACAAAAGCAAAUAUUAAAUGCAAUUAAUUGGUAAACUGGAGUGACUUGUUUGCAUCAGAAUGGUGGGGGUAUUAUAGGUGUUCUGUAUGGAUUUACCUGUGAAGAUGUAAUAAUUUCCAUUAGAGAGCAAGGUACUCAAACUUUGCAGAAGCUUGCCUACUUUUAGAUAUACCUAUCUAUCUCCUGGCACAUUCCAUAAAUCUACACAUUUAUUUAUAUAUUAUAAAUAUAUAAUAUAUUAUAUAGAUAUAUUCAUAAUAUAAAAAUUAUAAUAAGAUAUAAAAAUAUAAAUUCUAUAGAUGUAAUAAAUAUAUUUGUAAAUACACACAUGUUCAUUGGUGUGUAUUUGCAGGCUCUGCAGACCGAGCCCCUGCUGUUGAUUUAACUCACAAUGUUAGAAGCUGUAAAGCUACCAAAAUACAAAGAAUCAAGGUUUAGAAAAAGUGAAAAGUCUUCUCUGGCUGAAUUUCUUAAGCCAAGGUAGUAAUUAUUUUAGAAGUAUAUAUGUUUUUCUUGCUGUUUUGGUUUAAGAACUGGAAGCUUUCAGCAAAAGAUUAAGAUUGUUUGGUUUCCCCUUGACAAUUCUGUGGUCUUGCUGCUUCUCAUCCUGGUGUAUGAGAGGCUCAGAAACAGGCUAGGGAACACUGUCUAUUUGUAGAACCAUAGAAUGGUUUGGGUUGGAAAGGACCUUAAAGAUCAUCUAGUUCCAACCCACCCACCCCCCCCCCAUGGACACCACUCUCAUCUUCUGAAGCUGAUGCGAGUUUUUAACUAUUGAGGAUCCUGUAUUAAAUGUCCAAGUAAUUGUGUGAAAGGGAUAAGAAAAGUCUUGAUAGUCACACUGGGAAUAUGUUCUUUCUCUAGAUGAGGAAACUUCUAGUUUAAGUUGUGACAGAUUUUACUGCAGGCAAUCAAAGUUUGCAAGUUACGUUAUGAAAUAAUGCUUAGUGGUAUUUAUGCAUGAAUUUGUAAACAAUCUAAUAGGUUUAACUGUAAUUUCUGAUACUUUAGUUCAUAUUGCCCAGAAUUCUUUUACUGUGUAUUUUGGCAGGAUUGUUACCACAAAUUUUCUGUUAAGUCUGAAAUGAAGAGUAUUUUUACUGACUUUCUGAUAUUAGGGACAACAAUGAUGUAAAAAAUAUCUUUGUCCUUUAAAUUACUUUCUUUUUUGAAAGACAAUUAGAAGUGUCAGAAAUAUAUUAGUAAAAUAGGGGAGGAGAUGAGACACUCUGCAUGUAGAAGGUGAUUAAAGUGGCUUAGUACUGAAGACUUCUUUUGAUGAUUAGGAAUAGUUAUCAUGUAUAGAUGCCUUUUAUAUUUAGUGGUCCUAGUAUUUAACAUGUAAAGCUAGAAAUCUUACAUCUUUCCACAAACUUCAACAGAAUUGAAGCUAGUUAUAAGAAAUAGUCUUCAAGAAUACACGUUUUUGUUCUUUGGUUUUUUGAUUUUUUUUUUUUACUCUACAGAAAGUUUCUGCAUUUUAGUUGAACAUACUUGGCUCUGAUACGAAGCUCAGGCAAAAAUUCUGGAAAAGAUGCAACACUUCAAGAAUAUGAAAUUACAAAGCAGGAACCCAUCUGAACUUUUUAGUAACUUCUCCUGUACUGGUCCAGCUUGCUUUUCCUGCCCCCUGUUUAGGAGUACUGGGUAAUCUCUGGCACAGUUUAUUAGUCUUGGUGUGAGGUAUUUGUUGGGGGUUUGUUCGGUGGUUUGUUUGCUUUGUAAUUCUUACUCAUUUAUUCUUUGCUUUUAUUAUAUUUUCACUGCACAUCAUCUUUGGUUUUUAUCUUUAUCCAAUGACAGUUGUAACCAGAAAUCUGGUAAGUACCUUGUAAAAGAGAUUCAGAUGCAAUGUCAAGCACUGCCCGUGGUUUUUUUCUCCCUGAGUAAAAUGAGAGGUAGAGAAAACAGGAGGUAAAAAUCUCUGAGGAUCAUUUCCAUAGCAUUCAUCUUGAGGCUUUCUGACUGUUAUAAGCUGUUAAUUCAAAGUAUACAUACUAACCUAAACAGAAAUGUGGAUGAUACAUGUGCCAUGUGAGGUAAGAUCAAAUAUAGAAACUGUUGAUCAUUGUGUGAAGUGUAAGGCUGUGUGGUCAGUGGUGCAUGGCUGGGCCACAUAAAACAUUUAAAGUCUGUGUAUUUAUUGAUUCUACAUGGCUAUGGUGUCCAUCCUCGGGAAAACUGAGGGAUUUACUGCAGCCUGUUGGUCCCAGAAACUCAUUAAAGAUGGAUAGAAACAUGGGUUUUAGCAUUGAGUAGUUAUCUGGGACUGGGAAUUACAUGCUGGUUGUCUUUUAUGCAGUAAUGACUGUGCCGUGACAGUAGCGAUAUCCUGGAUAUGAUGGUAUUUGACUCUGCACCGGUGUCUUUCAUGGGGCUGUAAAUGGCUGCAAUUGUAUUACCUCUUCAGGAGUUGCCACUGCUCAGUAUCUUGUCACGCUGGAGCUUAAGAUCGUGAGAUCAUUUAAACAGGGUGAGGUACCUUGUUCUUUAAACAUGUUCUGCAAACACGUGUAAUUGGUCUUGCAAAAACUUGCGCCUGAAGAGGUCUUGAAAAGUCAAGCCUUCCUGUGCUGCAUUUGAGUAUAUUUCUUACAGGCUCUGCUAUGAUGUUUGCCCUAGAAUACAUACUGUGCUGCACCGACAGAGAUGAAACCAGCAGGCAUUCUCAUUUUCAGGUGGCCUUCAUGCUUUUCAUUAGGAGCGAUCAGUGCCGCUUGAAGCUUUUCAGCAGUAUUGAGGAAAUUGGAUUUUCCUGCUCCAGGAACAAGGAGCAGAACUGUGCCACUUCUCCCCCUGCCCAUACCUUAGUGCUGGAGAUGGGCAGCACUGAGAGGAGAGACCCCUGCCCAGCUCCUGCAGUGGGCUGAGCUGCCCCCUCGGACAUCCUGCAAUGGCAGCAGCAGUCCGGCUUGUCAGGGCUCUGGUAUAGAUGAGGAGUGGGAGGUUAGCCUCUUUAGCUCUGCUAUAAGUAUUUGUGAGUAGGUUAGGUCCUACUUGAAGCUUUUGGAAGCAUUCGUGAAUUCCUAAGUUUGGCAAUUUUAUAUGUUUUUUCGGGUGUUGUAUGGAAGGGUCUUGCAUUGUUGCUUGGGUGUUGCAGGGCAGAUCUUGGCUUACUGAAAUCCAGCAGGGUGAAAAGCGUGUGAGGAAGAGGUGAUGUUCUUGCCCUCAAAUUUCAUUGGAAUUGUGUAAUUCCACUAUGUCUGAGAAAUCACCCUUCCCCGUUGCGGGCCUGUGCUGCUGCACAGCACCUCAGUGGUGGGUCUACCAAUGCCUGGCCAGUCCAAGCUCUGCAAAUGGUGAGUGAAGCCUCCAGGAGCAGGCAAAAGUCACCUCCAGCAAGAUCGGCAGCCACGGUGAGGAGAGCACUGAGGGAGGAGUCUCCCCCGUACCUAUCAGAAAUAAAUUUGCUCGGAAUACGAAGUGAGGCAGGAAAUUCUGGCACUGUUGUGAGAUAAAGGGUGGAGAGCCAGCCUGAACUUCGGAGCUUGUAGGGCUUGAUUUAGUUGAGAGCUAGGGUUUCCAUGGUGUGUUACCAGAACUCAAAAGCUGGGAAGUACUGUGUGGAGACCUCCAGGGACUCUGAAUGAAGAUGAGCAGGGGCUGGAACCACUAUGUGGAACCACAUAGUUUCUGUAAAGACCUUUUGGUUGAUGUAUGGCACUGACCAACACACAGUCAAUUCGUCAUCAUCUCGGUAUUUGGGGAAAACAAUACAUAGAUGUCCGGUCUGGCUUUCCCAUACUCAGCUUGGCUCUGGCAGGACUGGUACUGAACUGGAGCUCAUAAGCCCAUACUGGAGCCAGUCUUCCACUCAGUAUCCAUGGGCUGUUCUGCCAUUACUUGCCAUAUUCCAACCUCUGUUAUUCUAGAUAAUGAAUACUGACUUUUCUAUAUAGAAAGACAAAUUGCAUGACUCUGUGUGCAUACAUAUUACAAACAGUUUCUAUAUAUAUUAUAGGCAGGCAUAAGAAUACAUACAUAUAUAUAAAACCAAAAUAUCUUAAGUCACGCAGAAUAUACAUACAUAAUCAGUAUUUUCUCUGUAAUGUUGACUACUCAAAAUUUAGGUAGUACAAGGAUAUAUUUUGCAAGAGUAACUUUUUUUUUUGUCCUGUGAAGAUGAGUUUAAUAAGAUGACAUCGUGAGAGUUUUGCAGAAACAUUUUCUUACACAAUUUAAUGUUGCAAAGUGGUUAUUGGACAAAUCUGAAUUAUAAGGUGAAUAAGGCUAUUGACUGUAGAAUUCCCAUCUUAUUUUUGGUGGUGAAGGUUGGUAAUGAAUAAUGUAAAUACAGGAGGCAAAAGCAGGAAAAAGCAAUACAUAUAAGUGCUUCUGUCUGUUCCACCUAAUAGUUCCUAGAUGGUCCUGUGCAAAUAAAUUAAAUUAGACUUUUCACAUCUAUCCUGUCAGCUUGUCAGUUCUUCUUUUUGUUUGGUAGUACAAAACUGCAUUAUUUCCACCACUCCGUUUCCCAGGUGCUAAGUACUCAGUAUUAAAUAGAUCCUCAGAUAUUUAGUUGCCCAGCUUUUCUAGGGUUCCUAAACCUUUUAAAGCACUUGAAUAUUUCAGUGGAACUGGCUAUAAAUCUGCAACAAGUGAGGGUUGGGUUUUUCCCCCUCAUAUAUGUUUCUCAGUGAAUUGGAGUGAUCUUGCAGAACGAGAAGUAAUCUUGUGUUUUAAUUCUGGCUCAUCUAAUUCUUUGCUGAAUGGUUGUCAAGUGGCUGCUCUGAAUUUCUCAAUUUUUCCCACUGGUAAAAUUCAGAAGAUAAAGGAAUACCUGGAGGAGCUGGUGGGGGGCAAGGGAAGUUUGGGGUCCUCAGAUACCAAGAAAUGUGAAAGUGUACCCUAUUCCACUUUCAUUGAAGGGGUUUUAAUGCUGUACAGCAAACACAAUCGGACGCAUGCAUCUGAACAAUAAAGAUAAAAAGAAAUGUUGAAUUAC
Long non-coding RNA from Falco peregrinus (peregrine falcon), 8508 nucleotides. RefSeq lists it as uncharacterized. Lineage: Eukaryota; Metazoa; Chordata; Aves; Falconiformes; Falconidae. The record is from RefSeq and is a predicted model, not a curated record. The transcript has 2 exons.